Molecule: ribosomal RNA, 484 nt
Filed under: uncultured bacterium
Lineage: Bacteria
Description: partial 16S ribosomal RNA
Rfam family: Bacterial small subunit ribosomal RNA
Source: RNAcentral
AUUGAACGCUGGCGGCAUGCUUUACACAUGCAAGUCGAACGGCAGCGCGGGCUUCGGCCUGGCGGCGAGUGGCCAACGGGUGAGUAAUGCAUCGGAACGUGCCCAGUAGUGGGGGAUAGCCUGGCGAAAGCCGGAUUAAUACCGCAUACGACCUGAGGGUGAAAGCGGGGGACCGAAAGGCCUCGCGCUAUUGGAGGGGACGAUGUCGGAUUAGCUAGUUGGUGGGGUAAAGGCUUACCAAGGCGACGAUCCGUAGCUGGUCUGAGAGGACGACCAGCCACACUGGGACUGAGACACGGCCCAGACUCCUACGGGAGGCAGCAGUGGGGAAUUUUGGACAAUGGGGGCAACCCUGAUCCAGCCAUGCCGCGUGCGUGAAGAAGGCCUUCGGGUUGUAAACCGCUUUUGUUCGGGAAGAAAACCUCUGGGCUAAUACCCCGGGGGGAUGACGGUACCGGAAGAAUAAGCACCGGCUAACUACGUG